This 383-nucleotide ribosomal RNA is filed under the name uncultured eukaryote. RNAcentral's name for it is "partial 18S ribosomal RNA". It matches the Rfam family "Eukaryotic small subunit ribosomal RNA", at positions 592 to 976 of the family's 1831-position model. The record is from RNAcentral.
CAAUAGCGUAUAUUAAAGUUGUUGCAGUUAAAAAGCUCGUAGUUGGAUUUCUGGUGGGAGCGAUCGGUCUGGCGCUUAGCGCGAGUACUUGCAUCGUCUCCGGCCAUCCUUGGGGAAAGUCUGUCUGGCAUUAAGUUGUCGGGCAGAGGAUCCUCAUCGUUUACUGUGAAAAAAUUAGAGUGUUCAAAGCAGGCUUAUGCCGCUGAAUAUAUUAGCAUGGAAUAAUAAGAUAGGACUUUGGUACUAUUUUGUUGGUUUGCGCACCAAAGUAAUGAUUAAUAGGGACAGUUGGGGGUAUUCGUAUUCCGUUGUCAGAGGUGAAAUUCUUGGAUUUACGGAAGACGAACUACUGCGAAAGCAUUUACCAAGGAUGUUUUCAUUAA